GGGCCUUUAGCUCAGCUGGUUAGAGCAUUCGACUCAUAAUCGACAGGUCCGCAGUUCAAGUCUGCGAAGGCCCACCA
This 77-nucleotide transfer RNA is filed under the name Oleispira antarctica. Its description in RNAcentral is "tRNA-Met". It matches the Rfam family "tRNA". From Rfam's summary of the family: Transfer RNA (tRNA) molecules are approximately 80 nucleotides in length. Their secondary structure includes four short double-helical elements and three loops (D, anti-codon, and T loops). Further hydrogen bonds mediate the characteristic L-shaped molecular structure. tRNAs have two regions of fundamental functional importance: the anti-codon, which is responsible for specific mRNA codon recognition, and the 3' end, to which the tRNAs corresponding amino acid is attached (by aminoacyl-tRNA synthetases). tRNAs cope with the degeneracy of the genetic code in two manners: having more than one tRNA (with a specific anti-codon) for a particular amino acid; and 'wobble' base-pairing, i.e. permitting non-standard base-pairing at the 3rd anti-codon position. RNAcentral also lists the same sequence under 2 other names. The record is from RNAcentral. Lineage: Bacteria; Pseudomonadati; Pseudomonadota; Gammaproteobacteria; Oceanospirillales; Oceanospirillaceae.